GAUGAACGCUGGCGGCGUGCCUAAUACAUGCAAGUCGAGCGAACGGACGAGAAGCUUGCUUCUCUGAUGUUAGCGGCGGACGGGUGAGUAACACGUGGAUAACCUACCUACAAGACUGGGAUAACUUCGGGAAACCGGAGCUAAUACCGGAUAAUAUUUUGAACCGCAUGGUUCAAAAGUGAAAGACGGUCUUGCUGUCACUUAUAGAUGGAUCCGCGCUGCAUUAGCUAGUUGGUAAGGUAACGGCUUACCAAGGCAACGAUGCAUAGCCGACCUGAGAGGGUGAUCGGCCACACUGGAACUGAGACACGGUCCAGACUCCUACGGGAGGCAGCAGUAGGGAAUCUUACGCAAUGGGCGAAAGCCUGACGGAGCAACGCCGCGUGAGUGAUGAAGGUCUUCGGAUCGUAAAACUCUGUUAUUAGGGAAGAACAUAUGUGUAAGUAACUGUGCACAUCUUGACGGUACCUAAUCAGAAAGCCACGGCUAACUACGUG
Molecule: ribosomal RNA, 497 nt
Filed under: uncultured bacterium
Lineage: Bacteria
Description: partial 16S ribosomal RNA
Rfam family: Bacterial small subunit ribosomal RNA
Source: RNAcentral